GGUGGCUCAGUGGUAGAGCACUUGCCUUGCAUGCAUGAAUCCCUGGGUUCGAUUCCGGAGCACCA
Molecule: transfer RNA, 65 nt
Filed under: Dipodomys ordii (Ord's kangaroo rat)
Lineage: Eukaryota; Metazoa; Chordata; Mammalia; Rodentia; Heteromyidae
Rfam family: tRNA
About the family: Transfer RNA (tRNA) molecules are approximately 80 nucleotides in length.
Source: Rfam by way of RNAcentral